AAGCGGCAACAGCUCAAAUUUGAAAUCUGGCUCCUCUCGGGGUCCGAGUUGUAAUUUGUAGAGGAUGCUUCGGGUGCGGCACCGGUCUAAGUCCCUUGGAACAGGGCGUCAUAGAGGGUGAGGAUCCCGUAUGUGACCGGCGACCAAGCCCAUGUGAAGCUCCUUCGACGAGUCGAGUUGUUUGGGAAUGCAGCUCAAAAUGGGUGGUAAAUUUCAUCUAAAGCUAAAUACCGGCCAGAGACCGAUAGCGCACAAGUAGAGUGAUCGAAAGAUGAAAAGCACUUUGGAAAGAGAGUCAAAAAGUACGUGAAAUUGUUGAAAGGGAAGCGCUUGUAACCAGACCUGCCGUCGGGUGCUCCGCGGGCAUUCUUGCCCGUCUACUCACCUGUGAUCAGGCCAGCAUCGGUUUUGGCGGCCGGAUAAAGACUCGAGGANUGUAGCUUCGCUUCGGGGAAGCGUUAUAGCCUCUUGUGCAAUACGGCCAGCCGGGACCGAGGACCGCGCUUCGGCUAGGAUGCUGGCGUAAUGGUUGCAAGCGACCCGUCUUGAAACACGGACCAAGGAGUCUAACAUCUAUGCGAGUGUUUGGGUGUUAAACCCAUGCGCGGAAUGAAAGUGAACGGAGGUGGGAACCCUCAAGGGCGCACCAUCGACCGAUCCGGAAGUUUACGGAUGGAUUUGAGUAUGAGCAUAGCUGUUGGGACCCGAAAGAUGGUGAACUAUGCCUGAAUAGGGUGAAGCCAGAGGAAACUCUGGUGGAGGCUCGCAGCGGUUCUGACGUGCAAAUCGAUCGUCAAAUUUGGGUAUAGGGGCGAAAGACUAAUCGAA
Molecule: ribosomal RNA, 828 nt
Filed under: Ramalina azorica
Lineage: Eukaryota; Fungi; Ascomycota; Lecanoromycetes; Lecanorales; Ramalinaceae
Description: LSU rRNA
Rfam family: Eukaryotic large subunit ribosomal RNA
Source: RNAcentral